GAUGAACGCUGGCGGCGUGCCUAAUACAUGCAAGUCGAGCGAAUGGAUUAAGAGCUUGCUCUUAUGAAGUUAGCGGCGGACGGGUGAGUAACACGUGGGUAACCUGCCCAUAAGACUGGGAUAACUCCGGGAAACCGGGGCUAAUACCGGAUAACAUUUUGAACCGCAUGGUUCGAAAUUGAAAGGCGGCUUCGGCUGCGACUUAUGGACGGACCCGCGUCGCAUUAGCUAGUUGGUGAGGUAACGGCUCACCAAGGCAACGAUGCGUAGCCGACCUGAGAGGGUGAUCGGCCACACUGGGACUGAGACACGGCCCAGACUCCUACGGGAGGCAGCAGUAGGGAAUCUUCCGCAAUGGACGAAAGUCUGACGGAGCAACGCCGCGUGAGUGAUGAAGGCUUUCGGGUCGUAAAACUCUGUUGUUAGGGAAGAACAAGUGCUAGUUGAAUAAGCUGGCACCUUGACGGUACCUAACCAGAAAGCCACGGCUAACUACGUGCCAGCAGCCGCCGUAA
RNAcentral lists this ribosomal RNA (515 nucleotides) under uncultured bacterium. RNAcentral's name for it is "partial 16S ribosomal RNA". It matches the Rfam family "Bacterial small subunit ribosomal RNA", at positions 28 to 523 of the family's 1533-position model. The record is from RNAcentral.